AGAGUUUGAUCAUGGCUCAGGAUGAACGCUGGCGGCGUGCCUAACACAUGCAAGUCGAGCGAACCCUUCGGGGUGAGCGGCGGACGGGUGAGUAACGCGUGGGUAACCUGCCCUGUACACACGGAUAACAUACCGAAAGGUAUGCUAAUACGAGAUAAUAUAUUUUAAUCGCAUGGUUAAGAUAUCAAAGCUCCGGCGGUACAGGAUGGACCCGCGUCUGAUUAGCUAGUUGGUGAGGUAAUGGCUCACCAAGGCGACGAUCAGUAGCCGACCUGAGAGGGUGAUCGGCCACACUGGAACUGAGACACGGUCCAGACUCCUACGGGAGGCAGCAGUGGGGAAUAUUGCACAAUGGGCGAAAGCCUGAUGCAGCAACGCCGCGUGAGCGAUGAAGGCCUUCGGGUCGUAAAGCUCUGUCCUCAAGGAAGAUAAUGACGGUACUUGAGGAGGAAGCCCCGGCUAACUACGUGCCAGCAGCCGCGGUAAUACGUAGGGGGCAAGCGUUAUCCGGAUUUACUGGGUGUAAAGGGAGCGUAGGUGGCAUGUCAAGUCAGAUGUGAAAGCCCGGGGCUCAACCCCGGGAUUGCAUUUGAAACUGAUAUGCUAGAGUGCAGGAGAGGUAAGUGGAAUUCCUAGUGUAGCGGUGAAAUGCGUAGAUAUUAGGAGGAACACCAGUGGCGAAGGCGGCUUACUGGACUGUAACUGACACUGAGGCUCGAAAGCGUGGGGAGCAAACAGGAUUAGAUACCCUGGUAGUCCACGCUGUAAACGAUGGAUACUAGGUGUGGGAGGUAUCGACCCCUUCCGUGCCGCAGCAAACGCAAUAAGUAUCCCGCCUGGGGAGUACGGUCGCAAGGCUGAACUCAAGGAAUUGA
Molecule: ribosomal RNA, 875 nt
Filed under: uncultured bacterium
Lineage: Bacteria
Description: bacterial SSU rRNA
Rfam family: Bacterial small subunit ribosomal RNA
Source: RNAcentral